GUACUGAUGAGGAGUCCCAAAGUAGGACGAAACAGUCGUCCAGUAC
Trichobilharzia regenti is the source of this 46-nucleotide non-coding RNA. The record is from Rfam. NCBI's taxonomy places the organism in Eukaryota, Metazoa, Platyhelminthes, Trematoda, Strigeidida, Schistosomatidae.